This 254-nucleotide ribosomal RNA is filed under the name uncultured bacterium. Its description in RNAcentral is "partial 16S ribosomal RNA". It matches the Rfam family "Bacterial small subunit ribosomal RNA", at positions 524 to 776 of the family's 1533-position model. The record is from RNAcentral.
GACGUAGGGCGCGAGCGUUGUCCGGAUUUAUUGGGCGUAAAGAGCUCGUAGGCGGCUCGUUGCGUCGGCUGUGAAAACCCGCAGCUCAACUGUGGGCUUGCAGCCGAUACGGGCGGGCUUGAGUUCGGUAGGGGAGACUGGAAUUCCUGGUGUAGCGGUGAAAUGCGCAGAUAUCAGGAGGAACACCGGUGGCGAAGGCGGGUCUCUGGGCCGAAACUGACGCUGAGGAGCGAAAGCGUGGGGGAGCGAACAGG